GAGUUUGAUCGUGGCUCAGAUUGAACGCUGGCGGUAUGCUUAACACAUGCAAGUCGAACGGUAACAGGAGAGAGCUUGCUCUUUUGCUGACGAGUGGCGGACGGGUGAGUAAUGCGUAGGAAUCUGCCUAGUAGUGGGGGACAACGUGUGGAAACGCACGCUAAUACCGCAUACGCCCUACGGGGGAAAGCGGGGAUCUUCGGACCUCGCGCUAUUAGAUGAGCCUACGUUAGAUUAGCUAGUUGGUGGGGUAAAGGCCUACCAAGGCGACGAUCUAUAGCUGGUCUGAGAGGAUGAUCAGCCACACUGGGACUGAGACACGGCCCAGACUCCUACGGGAGGCAGCAGUGGGGAAUAUUGGACAAUGGGCGAAAGCCUGAUCCAGCAAUACCGCGUGUGUGAAGAAGGCCUGAGGGUUGUAAAGCACUUUCAAUUGUGAAGAAAUAUUUAAGGUUAAUAACCUUAAAUUUUGACGUUAACUUUAGAAGAGCACCGGCUAACUCCGUGCCAGCCGCCGCCGUAACACCUAC
RNAcentral lists this ribosomal RNA (530 nucleotides) under uncultured microorganism. RNAcentral's name for it is "bacterial SSU rRNA". It matches the Rfam family "Bacterial small subunit ribosomal RNA", at positions 9 to 530 of the family's 1533-position model. The record is from RNAcentral.